Molecule: ribosomal RNA, 253 nt
Filed under: uncultured bacterium
Lineage: Bacteria
Description: partial 16S ribosomal RNA
Rfam family: Bacterial small subunit ribosomal RNA
Source: RNAcentral
GACGAACUGUCCUAACGUUGUUCGGAAUCACUGGGCUUAAAGGGCGCGUAGGCGGUCCGACAAGUCAGGGGUGAAAUCCUGCAGCUUAACUGUAGAAGUGCCUUUGAUACUGUCGGUCUCGAGGGAGAUAGGGGUGUGCGGAACUUCCAGUGGAGCGGUGAAAUGCGUUGAUAUUGGAAGGAACGCCGGUGGCGAAAGCGGCGCACUGGAUCUCUUCUGACGCUGAGGCGCGAAAGCUAGGGGAGCAAACGGG